UCCCGUGUGGCUCAGUUGGUAGAGCAUGGCACAUGGAACGUCAGCGUUGUGGGUUCGAUUCCCACGGGGGGAC
Molecule: transfer RNA, 73 nt
Filed under: Salmo salar (Atlantic salmon)
Lineage: Eukaryota; Metazoa; Chordata; Actinopteri; Salmoniformes; Salmonidae
Rfam family: tRNA
About the family: Transfer RNA (tRNA) molecules are approximately 80 nucleotides in length. Their secondary structure includes four short double-helical elements and three loops (D, anti-codon, and T loops). Further hydrogen bonds mediate the characteristic L-shaped molecular structure. tRNAs have two regions of fundamental functional importance: the anti-codon, which is responsible for specific mRNA codon recognition, and the 3' end, to which the tRNAs corresponding amino acid is attached (by aminoacyl-tRNA synthetases). tRNAs cope with the degeneracy of the genetic code in two manners: having more than one tRNA (with a specific anti-codon) for a particular amino acid; and 'wobble' base-pairing, i.e. permitting non-standard base-pairing at the 3rd anti-codon position.
Source: Rfam by way of RNAcentral